Long non-coding RNA from Salvia hispanica, 684 nucleotides. RefSeq lists it as uncharacterized. Lineage: Eukaryota; Viridiplantae; Streptophyta; Magnoliopsida; Lamiales; Lamiaceae. The record is from RefSeq and is a predicted model, not a curated record.
UGUCUUGGUGACCAAAACUUUCCUUGGUUGCAAUUUUUUUUCUUUGUUAAAAGUAAAUAUAUUCUGCAAAGAUUUUCCUUUCCUUCUCUCUCUGGCGGUUGUUUUCUCUUCUCCCCUUGAUCUACGCCAAAAAUAAACCCCAAUCACCUUUAAUUCCUGAGAAUCAAUUAUCAAAAUUUCUUCUGCAAAACACGGUAUAUAAACCCAUUCUCAGUACCCAAUUCAUUCACAGUCUACCUAUAUUUCUCUCGCAGCCAUCACGUUUUCUAUAAAUUCUCAACUGGAGAGCAAAGCAUUGAAGCAAGAGUUUGAUUUCACAUCUCCAAAGGAAUCAAAUCCAGAAAGGAACGGAAAAACACAAUCCUUAUUGCCUGAUCCUUUGUUUUCUAUGAUCUGUUACCGGAGGUUGAGCGGCGACGAGCUUGGGGUGGUGUUGAGUCGAACCUUAAUCAUUGUUGGAUUUAUUUUGAACUCCGAGGGACGUCGUGUCUUCAUACAUGGCGCCACUCUUACUCUUGGAUGCUUCCGCUGAGAUAAUACUUUUCUUCGAAAUUAUAUCUUUGAACCAUUUUCACUCUUGGAUUAAAUUAUGAUAAUUGUUGACUUUAGAUUCAAAACCUAAGCAUUUACUUUGAUUAUUCCUCAGUUAUUUGGAUAUUAAACGCUUCAAUCAAAUUCUUUAUU